Molecule: long non-coding RNA, 780 nt
Filed under: Vigna radiata
Lineage: Eukaryota; Viridiplantae; Streptophyta; Magnoliopsida; Fabales; Fabaceae
Description: long non-coding RNA (VRAD_LNC015931)
Source: RNAcentral
CGGAAGGAGAAUCAUAAUCAUAGACACAGGUAGAAGAAGCAGUAUUCACAAAAUCAAAAUAGGUAGACAUGUAGAAAGAAAGGGGGAAAGAAGAAUGCAAUGAAAAUAUGCAACUAAAGCUAUCUAAAUGCAACAACACAUAAUGACGAACACACAAAACGGAACAUCACACUCACAACACAGGACAAGACACAACACACACUAACACAACAAAAGACCUAAAACCGAACCAUUGGUCCCCGACAACGGCGCCAAAAUUUUGAUGGGUGUCGCACCCCAUGCAAAAUUUAAUGAGCAUAAAAGAAUGCAGUAUAGACUAGGAAAUGACUCCUAGGUCAUCUCUCAAGGACCAAAUGUAGUUCGAGAAUUAGGUCACACACGAAGUGGGGGGGGGUUGUGAAAGGUUUGUGGUGAAUGCGGAUGAACUAAAUCAAAACACAGACGCAGACUGAUAAUUAAACACAAGUCUAAAAACGGUUUCAAAGACAGACUGAAAAUGGUUGGUCAUUAACUUAAUUCCAAUGCUUCCUAUCACGGAUCAACAAAAUAAAACCGACUGAAACCUCUAAUCCAACAUUAUUAAUCAACUAAGCGCAGGCUAAUUAUUUUUCCAUAAAAGCGGACUAAGUGAACGCAAUGUUAACAUCAAAUCUAAUUUACACCAUACAGUUUCAUCAACUAAGAGAAGACUCAACACCAACUGGACAACUAAGUGUAUACCUAAUUGCAAGUGCAAACACAGAUUUGAUAUUAACCAAGUCAGAGUGNCAAUCACACAUA